GGCAAGAAAGGCUAAAUAGGCCAUCGGGCUCAUAAUCCGACAUGUGGGAACUUCCCUCUUGCUAC
RNAcentral lists this transfer RNA (65 nucleotides) under Notomastus sp. GK-2021. RNAcentral describes it as "tRNA-Met". Lineage: Eukaryota; Metazoa; Annelida; Polychaeta; Capitellidae. The record is from RNAcentral.